ACCAGGUUUGCCCUAAUGCUUCUCUGUAAGUGGACAUUGGUGAUUGGAGUCGCCCCAACCUGGCCUCCGCACAGCGCCUGUUUUACAUCUCCCUCCACACUCUCCAAUCUUCUGGUUCUCGGGGAGCUGAGAUCCCCAUGGGUCGGACAGCUCCAGACCAGAGCGAGUCUGAAUCCGACCCCAGAGGUCUCCAUCGCUGACCGCAUAUCGUGUGUACGUUGUUAUUCGGUUUCCUUUUGUGGCUAAGGACUGGACACCUAAGUACUGCUUCUUUUUAUAGAAGGCUCUGACUAGCACAUUUGCUGAUUAAAAGGGAGGCCUCACAGAACAUUCAUUUUGAAGAGCAUAGUAAUACUUAAGAACCAGGACUAUUUCAGGCAUUUACUGCAAACUGUUUAUUUCCUAAAAUAAGGAGGGCAUGCUUUCUGUUUACUUCCUCCUAAUGAGAAUUCCUCAGGAGUUUGAAAGCUGUUAUUGUGCCCCCUCUCCCUUCCCCCCUAUAUCAGCCCUCCCCGGCCAAGAAGCAGCUGACCACUGUCAUCCUUCAAGUUGGCAUUUACCUUUGAAAGGAAUUCUCCUCCUCUCUCCCGUUAGGACUGGAGCAAGCUACCUUGGUUGACCAAAUGUAUAUCGAAACCUUUCCUGUAGUUCAAAUCCCGUCACAGAUUCCUCUCUCCUCUGUGAGGUAAUCCUUGCCCCCAUCGAUUAUGUAAAAUCUUUCCUCCUGUCCGCUGUUUCUACGCUGGCUCAGGCCUUUAUUGUUGGGCAUAUUGCUUUAACGUUGAGUGACUAUUUGACAGCACCUAUGCCAGGCUAAAGAUCUAACCACAAACAGGAUUCUAGAACCCUGCUAUCUAACAGAACUUCUGGUGGUGCUGGAAAUGUUCUGUAUGUGUGCAACCCACUGUGGUAGCCACUGGACGCGUGUGGCUGUUGUGCACUUGAUGCAUGAUGAGCUCAAGUGAGAAACUCCACGUGUAAUCUUGUUCAUUUAAAUUUACAUUUAAACAGUUACACGUGACUAGGGACAGCAUGGCUCUAGGUCAUAAGCCUCCUGAGAACAGAGGUCUUUCUCUUCCAUUUAUUGCCAUGCUCCCAGCACCAAGAACAAUGCCUGGCAUGUGAUCUUGGAGUCCGGAAGGCAGGGAUUGACUUUUCUGUGCCCAUACCCUGAGACCUACAGUCUAGAACCAUAUCAAGGCCAUAGGAGGUGCUCAAGAAAUGCAAGUUCAAUUGAACCAGGCAGUGGCGGUGCUGUCUGGUUCUCCAGACCUUCCAAGCCAGCAGGAGAAUCUGACUUUUCUGACAUGUCCUCACCUUUGGCUCCCUGCCUGACUUGGUCGUCCAGCUACAUACCAAUUAAACCAAAUAAUACUCGCCUCACUACCCUCAAGCUCCUCCUCUAUCUUCCCCCAUAACCAUGGAUUCCUUACUAAUGCCCUCCCUUGGUGCCUGUCCCUGCUCUGGUGCUUCCUCUGUCAUACCGUACCCUCUGGCCUUCCUCUGCCUCGCCUUCCCUUCUUGGCAGCCAGACUCGCUGGCAGAUUAUUCUGUGGUCACACUAACUGCAACACCACUUAAUAGCAUAUAACGGGAAGAACAGUAACUUCAGAGUUAGCCUCUGAGAUUCAAAUAUUAGCAGGGCACCUGGGUGGCUCAGUGGUUGAGCGUCUGCCUUCUGCUCAAGUCAUGAUCCCGGGGUCCUGGGAUCGAGUCCCGCAUCAGGUUCCCUGCAGGGAGCCUGCUUCUGCCUCUGCCUGUGUCUCUGCCUCUCUCUCUGCGUGUCUCUCAUGAAUAAAUAAAUGAAAUCUUUUUUUAAAAAAUGAAAAAAGAAACAUCAGCUUUACAGCUUACUGCUUUAUGUGAACUUGGGCUAGUUACAAAACACUUAGAUCAUCAGUUUCCUCAUCUAUAAAGUGGCAGAAUAAUGCCGUUCUCAUAAAUGUACUAAGCUUGAGACAUGGUAUGUAAAGCUCGUAGCACAAUGCUUGGUGCUCAGCAACUGUCAGCUCUCUUCCCUCUGUGAAUAUACCUACAUCCACCUAUUCCUAAACACAUCAAUACAGGUGAAUUUAAAGCCAAUUGGGGUAUUCAUGUUUUAAUUGCACGUCACCCUUUUGCAUUCUCCUACAUACCUUUUCCACUAUUGAAAGAUUAAAUGACCAAAAUAACAAUCUAACUCAUUUACUCUUCAUCUAUAAAACUGGUUUAAUUAUUAUAAUAAAGGUAAGCCUGGUCUUGGUGCAGUAUUGUAGAAACCCCAUUUACAAGUAAGUAAAAGGCAAAUUCUCAUCUCUUCUCUCCACUGCAAACCAAGCAAACCACGAAAUCAAGCCAAACAGAGAAAGAGGACUAAAACAGUGGAAAACCACUCAGUAGAAGGCAGGAAAGUAGUGAAUUAGGGUUAAUUUCCAUUCCACUGUGCAUGUCUUGACUGUCUUGGGAGAAGGGGCCACAAUUUACUCACAAAUGAUCACCGUAGAGCAGCCCCUUGAAGGAGACACCUACGGCUCUCCGUGGGCUCCCUUCCUCCGAAACAAGCAUGAACUCCCUGCAGCAAACGUAGCCCUCAAGGAGGAAGCCAAACCAUCCCACACAAUUGCAAUUAGCUUUGAUUACUGUAUUGCAAGAUUAUGUUUGAGGAGCAUCAAAAAUGCUAGUUGUUUUUGUUUUACAGUGAAAGCAGCCAGUGUCAUGGCAUUUAGUGCGACACCUGAGAAUUAAUGACUGCAAUGCCAGAAGAAUUCUAGAUCCUUUCAGAUCAGCGCUGGAUAGGCUCAACUCUGGUCUUAGUUUUGCCAUCACUUAGCUGUGUGACCUAGAGUAGGUUCUUGAGGCUGCAGUUUCCUUAUCUGCCAACUGAGGAGGCGGGAGGAGGGUAGCUGUUCUAUUGUAUGAUCUCACCUAUGACACGUGUGCGAUAUGGUACGUGGCUACUCGGCAUGUGCAGGGACAGUAUAGAUCACUGAGGAUGCUCUGAAGCAUCUUUAUAACUGAUCCAGAGUAGGUUAUUAGACCACUUCAGCCUUUGGACUGAAAUGCAGCUUAGGGAUUCCAGUCCAUUUACAGGCGUAGGAAAUAAAGAGAUGUAGAGUCUUCUUCAUCUUGGGAUGGAGAAGUAUUUUUAUGUUUCCCCUUUUUUCUUGUAGAACUUUAAUGCCAUUGCUAAGUUUACCCAUGCAGUCAAUACAUGCACAAUUCCCUCUGUGGCCUAAGCAAGGUGCUGAGCAGUGUAGAGUUGAAGAAGACCACAGGCCUGUCCACAGGGGCUCAAAGGCCAGAACAAGAGAUCAACACAGUGCCCUGGAGCUCAGGACCGCCCACCUCUGCCCUUGGAGUGGGCAGUGGUCUCCUGGGGGGGCGGGGGUGGGGGCCUUGAUGACUGGGUACGAUUUUCCAGGUGGAUGGAGCAUGGAGGUGUUGGAGGACAUGGCACGUUCGGAGCACUACAUGUUGCUAAGUGGCAGCGUGGUCUUCACAUGCGUGUGUGUGAGAGAGAGAGAAUGAGUCAGGAGGUGUGACAGUCACAAAAGGCCUCAUAUGUCAAAGCAAAGGCUUUAUUCUAGAAUCAGUAUAGAGCUGCUGAACGCUUAAAUUAGAGGAGCAGCCUGAUUGGAUUCUCGGGGCCACAUUAAAAGUAGAACUUUCCUUUUUGGAAUCUGUCCACUUGGACUUUUAGUGCCCGCAGCACUAAAGAGAAGAGAAACCUGACCUCUUAAAGAGAAGCAUGACCUCUCUGGGGAUGGGACCUCGAAUUCUUCUCUGUCACCUUGUGUGUGAUUUUAUUAAAUCUUAGGGAUCAUUGCCCCAAUGUUAAAAGCAUCUCUCCAAUAUAAGAAAAUCAAUGAGGAUAGGAUUCAUUGUGCAUAUU
Molecule: long non-coding RNA, 3871 nt
Organism: Canis lupus familiaris (dog)
Lineage: Eukaryota; Metazoa; Chordata; Mammalia; Carnivora; Canidae
Exons: 3
Source: RefSeq, a predicted model, not a curated record